UACGAAGGGGGCUAGCGUUGUUCGGAUUUACUGGGCGUAAAGCGCACGUAGGCGGAUUUGUCAGUCAGGGGUGAAAUCCCGGGGCUCAACCUCGGAACUGCCUCUGAUACAGCAAAUCUCGAGUCCGGAAGUGGUGAGUGGAACUCCUAGUGUAGAGGUGAAAUUCGUAGAUAUUAGGAAGAACACCAGUGGCGAAGGCGGCUCACUGGUCCGGAACUGACGCUGAGGUGCGAAAGCGUGGGGAGCAAACAGG
Molecule: ribosomal RNA, 253 nt
Filed under: uncultured bacterium
Lineage: Bacteria
Description: partial 16S ribosomal RNA
Rfam family: Bacterial small subunit ribosomal RNA
Source: RNAcentral